Molecule: ribosomal RNA, 501 nt
Filed under: uncultured bacterium
Lineage: Bacteria
Description: partial 16S ribosomal RNA
Rfam family: Bacterial small subunit ribosomal RNA
Source: RNAcentral
AUUGAACGCUGGCGGCAGGCUUAACACAUGCAAGUCGAGCGGGGGAAGGUAGCUUGCUACUGGACCUAGCGGCGGACGGGUGUGUAAUGCUUAGGAAUCUGCCUAUUAGUGGGGGACAACAUCUCGAAAGGGAUGCUGAUACCGCAUACGUCCUACGGGAGAAAGCAGGGGAUCUUCGGACCUUGCGCUAAUAGAUGAGCCUAAGUCGGAUUAGCUAGUUGGUGGGGUAAAGGCCUACCAAGGCGACGAUCUGUAGCGGGUCUGAGAGGAUGAUCCGGCAAACUGGGACUGAGAAACGGCCCAGACUCCUACGGGAGGCAGCAGUGGGGAAUAUUGGACAAUGGGGGGAACCCUGAUCCAGCCAUGCCGCGUGUGUGAAGAAGGCCUUAUGGUUGUAAAGCACUUUAAGCGAGGAGGAGGCUACUUUAGUUAAUACCUAGAGAUAGUGGACGUUACUCGCAGAAUAAGCACCGGCUAACUCUGUGCCAGCCGCCGCGGUAA